Haliotis rubra (blacklip abalone) is the source of this 1718-nucleotide long non-coding RNA. RefSeq lists it as uncharacterized. The transcript is spliced from 2 exons. NCBI's taxonomy places the organism in Eukaryota, Metazoa, Mollusca, Gastropoda, Lepetellida, Haliotidae. The record is from RefSeq and is a predicted model, not a curated record.
GGUGUCCCCCGCCGUGAUGUUGCUGGAAUAUUGCUAUAAAGCGGCAUAAAACCAAACUCAGUCAGUCAGUCAGUCAGUCAUGUUAUUUGUAGGGUGUUGGUUUACAUGCUUCUACUGGAUGGUCAUCGUCUGUAUUUCCUGUUUCCUGAUAAUGUGGCGGGUAGGUAUGAAUGCUGGCAUAUGGAACCCUGAUGCCGAAAUUCAUGUGAUUAAAUAAAUAAUGAGACAAAGUCCAAGUUGAUUUUACUUUCCGAUUCGAAAUUCUAGUGACUUCUUUAACGUGUUCAGUUUCAUCACUUGUGUGGCUGAUAGAUAACUUAUCUGUAGUGUUGCAUAAUGACGUUCAGUUGCUUUGGUUUUACUCCAUUAAAUUGCAUGUUCAAAAUGCCAGUGAAUUCCUGUAAUCAACUGCAAGUGAACAAUUGCAUAAUAAUUUGAUAGAAAUUGACCAGAAAUGUAAGUUAUGAAUGGCUUGGAAUAAGCUGCAACGGUAUAUGUGUGCUGUCGUGUAUGGUUUAGGCAGAAAUAUCAGCAGUUAUGAGAUCAUCCUGUUCCCUGUUUAAUUGAUUUCACUUUGAUCUGUGCAAAUGAUUAAAACAUAACAUAAAAGAUGUAUGUACUGUAUGUGUGUUUGCAAUAUUCAGAUUGAUUUUUAGUUUGUCAAACAUCCAACCAGACUAACUGAAGAAUACCAAUGCCAUUGUUUUCUAGUCAAACAUUUACUUCAUUCACUGACAUCCUGUAACAAGAUUGUGUUUUGAAUCAGUUAUAUGGUAACUGGAAUAACCACCACACUAUAUAUCUCUGUGGUUCUGGAAGAUGCAUUCCUUCCGUUUUCUCUCUGAUCUCACUACAAUAAGACUUAAGCUCUUGCUAACCCUUUGGUUUACUGGAGAGAGAACUAACUUCUGGUUUUAAACGAGAUUCGUUUGUUGAUGCUAUUCGAAGUGUUGUUACAGAAAAGUUGAAAAGUUGUUCACUCACUCACUUGUACUAUCACUGCUCCCUUCCAGUGUGGCACUGUUGUCAUCUUUACAUUUCUGUCUCCUUCCAUCACUGUAACAAUUAUAAUAUGUCCUGUUUGGGGGUACUGGUAACCAUGAGUGUUUAGUACAUGGUUGGUGCUAGAACUACAUACCACACUGACACAGCUAUAUCCUGUAUGUGUCAUGUGGUCAUUGUAGAAUCACUUUGUUGGCUUUAAAAACACCUUAUAUUUAGAAAUUGUGUAUUGCCUAAAUCUUCAUAAAUGAUAUAAGGCUUGAUUUGUUGCCGAUAUGUUCAUUGCACCCAGUCCUUUCAUUAAACACACACAAGGCAAAGUGAUUCAUUUGUUCUCACUAGUAAUACAUUGCUUGGUUGAAUGAGAAUGUAAUUGGUGCACGCUUAGAUUUUUGUCUUUCAUAUAUUCAUAUUGUCAGUUACUUGAUAUAACUGCAUGUUGAUUUAGGUGUUAUUUGAAAGGAUGACCUACUAGCUUCCACUGUAAUGCACUGAAUAUUAUCUGUUGCCAGAAAAUAGCAUCUUAGACCAGUUCCAGGUUUUAUCUGAUUGUAUGGCUGUGUAGGGAAUAUUCACCUAGCUUUCAUAUAUUUACUUUGCUUAUGGACUUCAGAAAUUAUGUUUGUGUACAUUUUAUCUUUGUUGACAUUAUAUAGUUUUUAGUUGCAAUACCUUUAGUGAGUCUGUGAUAAGGUAUUAAAGUUUUAUUAUAAUUC